RNAcentral lists this long non-coding RNA (451 nucleotides) under Sorghum bicolor (sorghum). Its description in RNAcentral is "long non-coding RNA (SBIC_LNC017958)". The record is from RNAcentral. Lineage: Eukaryota; Viridiplantae; Streptophyta; Magnoliopsida; Poales; Poaceae.
GUACCUUUCUACUUUUGUAAGACUUUCCUUUUAUUAAUAUAUUAUUCUUACUUUACUUUACUGAGUUCUUACUUAGUGCAAGUCUUUUAGUCUUGUUGUGCAUUUACUUUAGUAAUAUAGUUGUCUUAGUGAAGUUAGUGACCUGUAACCACUCCUGUGUGUGCAUCAUCGUCCUAUCUUGUAUAGGAGCGUUAGAGUUGUAGGAUUAAGUGUGAGCGUGGUGCUCAUACUUAAGAUUACCUUUGAUUACCACUGGCUUGAACGGAAAGUAGGAGCGCACUCCCUAGUAGGUGACAGAUCGUGGGCGGCAUUAGGUUCUCCUCACGUACAGGCUAGUUCUUAAAAGGUAAGGCGUCCAUAAGCCCAAUAGUCGCUUUCGGUAAGGGGUUAGGUGAAAAACCUUCUAAGCGUCUUACCAGCUCGGCUAUCCCUCGCACACAGUUAGUAAGGC